This 283-nucleotide unclassified non-coding RNA is filed under the name uncultured Pachyphlodes. RNAcentral describes it as "sequence contains 5.8S rRNA gene". The record is from RNAcentral. Lineage: Eukaryota; Fungi; Ascomycota; Pezizomycetes; Pezizales; Pezizaceae.
GAACGCACAUUGCGCCCAAUGGUAUUCCAUUGGGUAUACCUGUUUGAGUAUCAGAAUCCUUUUAAUUAUUAAACUUUUAUGUAUAGAGAUGUAUGUAAAGAUGUUUGGAUAUAAAAUUGAGAAAAGUAGGUAUUAUUUAUAAUACUACUUUCUUAAAAACCCCAAAUAUUAUGUUUUGAUUUUUCUUCAAUCUCAUUUUGUAUAUGAUUUAACAAAUGAGUACGAGUAAAAAUAACAAUACUUUGGAUGACCUCAAAUCAGGUAGGGAUACCCGCUGAACUUA